This 288-nucleotide ribosomal RNA is filed under the name uncultured bacterium. RNAcentral's name for it is "partial 16S ribosomal RNA". It matches the Rfam family "Bacterial small subunit ribosomal RNA", at positions 773 to 1060 of the family's 1533-position model. The record is from RNAcentral.
GUGGAUUAGAUACCCUAGUAGUCCACGCCAUAAACGAUGAGAACUGGAUGUCGGAGGGGUCUGCCCUUCGGUGUCGUAGCUAACGCGUUAAGUUCUCCGCCUGGGGAGUACGGCCGCAAGGUUGAAACUCAAAUGAAUUGACGGGGACCCGCACAAGCGGUGGAGCAUGUGGUUUAAUUCGAUGCAACGCGAAGAACCUUACCUGGCCUUGACAUCUGUCGAAUCCUGCAGAGAUGUGGGAGUGCCUUCGGGAACGACAAGACAGGUGCUGCACGGCUGUCGACAGCU